Molecule: ribosomal RNA, 2495 nt
Filed under: Reptadeonella brasiliensis
Lineage: Eukaryota; Metazoa; Bryozoa; Gymnolaemata; Cheilostomatida; Adeonidae
Description: partial large subunit ribosomal RNA
Rfam family: Eukaryotic large subunit ribosomal RNA
Source: RNAcentral
ACCCGCUGAACUUAAGCAUAUCAGUAAGCGGAGGAAAAGAAACUAACUAGGAUUCCCCGAGUAGCGGCGAGCGAAAGGGGAGAAGCCCAGCGCCGAAGCCCGCGGCCCCUGGUCGCAGUGCAAUGUGGCGUUACGGCUGCGGCUCGCCGCGACUGCUCUGGCACGCGUACCUCUGAAUGGGUCUGCCCGCAGCGGGUGUCAGGCCUCUACUUGCCAACGAGCGGUCGUGGCCCGCCGUAGCCGCGGAGUCGGGUUGCUUGAGAGUGCAGCCCAAAGUGGGUGGUAAGCUCCAUCUAAGGCUAAAUACCUAGUGCGAGACCGAUAGCAAACAAGUACCGUGAGGGAAAGUUGCAAAGAACUUUGAAAAGAGAGUUCAAGAGUACGUGAAACCGUUCAGAGGCAAACGGACGGAACUGGGCGAGUUCGUCGCGGCCAUUCAGCCGGCGCCCCUCAGCGGGUGCCGGUGCACUUGGCCGCGGCGGAGCGCGACGACCGCCUGCCCGGGUCGUCAGAAGCCCGGCGGCAAGGUGACGGGGCGCUCGCGCCUCGUGUUACAGGCCGCCGGCGCGUUGACAGACCUGGCGGGCGAGGAGCGCCUGCCGCGCACUCCCGCUUUGGCGGGAGCCGCCCGAUAUCCGGUGGGCUCGCGGACGCCGGCGACGAACUGCGUGCAGUUCGGAGUCGCGCGCUCUGCUUGUCUCGCUGUGCGGUGCGGCGUGGCGCGCAGGGUCCGGGUCGCGUGGUUCCCGGCACUCCGUCCGACCCGUCUUGAAACACGGACCAAGGAGUUGAGCACGCGCGCGAGUCGAUGGGCUCUUUCGAACCCCAGUGGCGUAGCUAAGGCAAAACGGGCGUGAUCCGGCACUGGCGUGUCGGCGCAACGCCGGCCCGCAGCCGACUCGACGAGUGGCUGCGGCGCAAGAGCGCGUGUGCUCAGACCCGAAAGGUGGUGAACUAUGCUUGAGCAGGGCGAAGCCAGAGGAAACUCUGGUGGAGGCUCGCAGCGAUCCUGACGUGCAAAUCGGUCGUCAAACUUGAGCAUAGGGGCGAAAGACUAAUCGAACCGCCUAGUAGCUGGUUCCCUCCGAAGUUUCCCUCAGGAUAGCUGGCACUCGGUAUCAAUGGUUUUAUCCGGUAAAGCGAAUGAUUAGAGGCAUUGGGGGCGAAACGCCCUCAACCUAUUCUCAAACUUUAAAUGGGUAAGAGGCGCGACCCUUCCUGAUGCGGGGUCGCGUGCUUGAACAGAGAGUGCCCAGUGGGCCGUUUUUGGUAAGCAGAACUGGCGCUGUGGGAUGAACCAAACGUGCGGUUAGGGUGCCUAACGCACGCUCAUGAGACACCACAAAAGGUGUUGGUUGAUAUAGACAGCAGGACGGUGGCCAUGGAAGUCGGAAUCCGCUAAGGAGUGUGUAACAACUCACCUGCCGAAUCAACUAGCCCUGAAAAUGGAUGGCGCUGGAGCGUGCGACCCAUACCGCACCGUCGGGGCAACGCGUGCGAAAUGCCAGGCCCCGAUGAGUAGGAGGGCGUGUCGGUGGCGUAGAAGCGUUGUGCGCGAGCACGCGUGGAGCCGCCUUCAGUGCAGAUCUUGGUGGUAGUAGCAAGUAUACAAAUGAGAACUUUGUAGACCGAAGUGGAGAAGGGUUCCAUGUGAACAGCAGUUGGACAUGGGUCAGUCGGCCCUAAGAGAUCGGAAAAUUCCGUUCUGAACGGGGGAGGCGCGCGUGCACACGUCGUCUGAACAUAAGCUAAGCUGUGCUCUGUAAAGCGCAUAGUGUGCCGUGCGACUGGCGUCCCCCGAUACGAUCGAAAGGGAAUCGGGUUAAUAUUCCCGAACCUGGCGGCGGAGAUUGGGCCCUCGGGCCCCAGUGCGGUAACGCAACCGAACUCGGAGACGCCAGCGUCGAUCCCGGGAAGAGUUCUCUUUUCUUUGUUAGGAGCGGACUCCCUGGAAUUGGCUUGUCCAGAGAUAGGGACGUUGCAUCCGUAAAGCGUCGCGCCUCACGCGGCGUCCGGUGCGUCGGCGUUGGCCCUUGAAAAUCCGAGGGAGGCAGUGUAAUUUUCGCUCCAGGCCGUACCCGAAUCCGCAGCAGGUCUCCAAGGUGAACAGCCUCUGGUCGAUAGAACAAUGUAGGUAAGGGAAGUCGGCAAAUCCGAUCCGUAACUUCGGGAUAAGGAUUGGCUCUGAGGUGCGGGCUGUUUCGGGUCGCGGCAAGAAGCGGACCGCGCGUUGGUUGGACUGGACGCGCUCACGCGCGUUCGGACCGCCGCCAGCGCGCGUCCGUGGGAGGCCGUGGCUUUCGCCGGCGUGGGCCUCGCGUCCGCGUCGGCUUCGUUCGGCCUAAACGCACAGCACAGAACUGGCACGGACUCUGGGAACACGACUGUCUAAUUAAAACAAAGCAUCGCGAUGGCCGCUGGUCGGUGUUGACGCGAUGUGAUUUCUGCCCAGUGCUUUGAAUGUCAAAGUGAAGAAAUUCAACCAAGCGCAGGUA